This 67-nucleotide transfer RNA is filed under the name Uromastyx benti (Yemeni spiny-tailed lizard). RNAcentral's name for it is "tRNA-Thr". It matches the Rfam family "tRNA". Rfam says of the family: Transfer RNA (tRNA) molecules are approximately 80 nucleotides in length. Their secondary structure includes four short double-helical elements and three loops (D, anti-codon, and T loops). The record is from RNAcentral. Lineage: Eukaryota; Metazoa; Chordata; Lepidosauria; Squamata; Agamidae.
GCCCCAGUAGCUUAAAACAAAAGCAUUGGUCUUGUAUGCCAAAGAAGGAACAACUUUCCCCGGGGCA